UGAAAGAUGUUGAAGACGGACUGAAAUAUUUUGUUGGAUAGGAGGGAAAUGUUGGGAAUGCAGUCCUUUAACUGUGUUAAAUCUGAGGUUCCGUCAUCCUUCAGUUUCCACAGUUUAUCAGUUCGUCCUGCUGAAUAUGAUCCUGGACUAGCAACCCUCACUCUCCGGGUACAGGUUAGAUCUGGUAGGGGGUCGACAGGAGAUCAUGAGUCCAUGUCCGGCGAGGUUCGGAUUGUUCACGGUACAGCAGAGAUUCAUAAUGUGGUCGAAACCUCGAUAAAGAAUGUUUUCAACUCGGAGGAUCAAUCUACUAGUGAAGAACCUGGGACGAAGGAAGAGGAUACUCCGGACGAGUUCUGGGUUCGACUUAUUGAAGGAUCGAUCCAGGACGAGUCUGUGAGAUCAAGAUUUGUAUUGGAUCUCUUCUCUGGGUUGUCUAGUAUUUCCUGGGACGUUAUCUCCUCAUGCAACCUUACUCGCAACCCAUCAAACCUUCAGACCUAUGAGAUGUUCACUUGGAUAUUAAAAAGGAAAAUGGUUCCUGCACCCGGGAUAGAAUGUAUUGCAAUAUCUUUAAGGAGACGCGAGGAUGAGAAUAUUCUAGAAAUUCUAAGCCCAGGAGACAACUGCACUAUUGAGGUUAAUAAUUUAGUCAAGAGUUGUGUUGAACAAGAGGCUAAACAGCCCAAGAAUCCAAACUGCGUGGAGUCUACGAGUAAACCUGAUCGAAGAUCUAAAGAGAUUAGUCACAAAGAACUUGCAAAUUCCUUGGAUAAGAUCUCAACAUAUGACAGUACUACUGUUACGGAAACCAAAAAAUUAAUAGAGCACAAUGUAACCUCUGGCCGCGUAGAGUCACCUGUUCAGUGUUCAGUAGAAACCAAUGUUGAACUGCAUCAUGUCUCUGAACAGUUAGCUAAUCAAUCUAAUCAAGAUAAUCACAAGUCUUUCACGAACUCAAAGUCAAGGUUACCAGGUUCUUCAGGACUGCAUGACAACUGCUGCAUAGAGCCAAGUUUACCAGGUCCCUCAGAACUGGAAAACAACUGCUGCGUAGAACAAGGAACUCCAGAUACACUUACUCCGGAUGAACCGAUGAAGACGGGAGAGAGUGGAUAUAUCUCGGAAGAGGAUAAAAAGAGUGAGGAAGAAUUAGCUCAGAAAACUGAGGAUAUUGAACCGGUUCCAGAAGAGUUUAUAGAUCCUAAAGAUAAAUCUGGUGAUGAUAACUGUUCACAAUUGAAAGAAGUUGAAUCUGAAAUUAUAUUAAAAGAAUCCGAAGUAUUGUCCGAAGAGAAAACCAGAGAAACUGAAACCAAACUAACUAGUGAAUAUGACACCAAAGAAUCCAGUAUACAUAAUACACAACCAACUGUUGAAUCUGAAACGAAACAGCCCAGUGAAUCUGAAACCAAGCAACCUAUUGAAUCUGAAACCAAGCAACCCAGUGAAUCUGAAACCAACCAACCCAGUGAUACUGAAACCAAGCAACCUAGUGAAUCUGAAACCAACCUAACUAGUGUGCCCACGGACGAGAAAACAAUCGCUUCCACAGCCGAAGAAUCCAUUAAAAUUGUUACAAGUCAAACAAAUGUAACGGUUACUAUCGAAACCCACGAAACUGUUUCUAGAGAAAUUACGAAAUAUAAAUCAAAUCAGAAAGAAAUAGAGCUAAAAGAAUUAGAAGCCGCUGCAAAAGUAAACGAAUUAUCUGCAAAAAUCAGCAAUUUGAUCCAAACACCACGGAAAGUGGAAUCCGAAGCUAUGCGGGAGGGAUCCCCUGGUUCUCCUGGUAAGGGUGUAGUCCUCAGGAAUAAAGCCUUCCUUAGCAACAUUAUUGCUCCUCCACCCAAAUUCCGUGAAUCUCAGGAGGAUCCUCUCUGCCCGUCCCAGUUCCGGGUUGGAUUAAACCUGAACCUUGUUCUCCUUGAUCUCUCCUACAAGAUGUUCUCUAGGCAGUGGAAGCUUGUGACCUGUACCAGGCUCCAGGGGUCACAGGAGUCCUUGCUCCUCUUCCAACAUGAUUCCAGGAUUCUUCCUGGUAUUGGACAACAGGCCUUGGCUGGGCUAAGUAUUGAACAGGGUGAAGUAGAACUGUUUAAUAUUAAUCCUGAGAUAUCAGGACGAAUAUCUGGGGAUCUAGGGUUGGAGAGGAAGGAAGGAUUUCUAUUCUCUGCUCCAGUUGAUGAGUCUGCUCUUUAUUCAAACCUGGUCUUUUCAUUCUGCCAACAUUCAUACAAUAUAUUCUCAUCUAUACAGAGCCCGACUGGGAGCUUGAUAAUGUUCCGCUCCUCGAACCUGGUCGCCUCCUCCACCCUCACCCUGCACCUUGUCAAGGGGAACACCAUCAGACUUAGUGGAGCUACAUUGGAAGAAGUUAACGUCAUUAGGGAGGUUAUACGAUCUAGAUGGCCAUAUGCAAUCUCACUAGAUCAUCAGCUGUUCAAGGACGGAGAGGUACAGAAAGACGUGGAAGUAAAAGACGCUGAAGACAAAGAUAGAGAAGUUAAAGAUGUGAGUAUCAAGGACGGAGAAAUCAAGGAUGGAUCUGAUAUUGAACCUGGAGCUAAGAAACCCUGUGAACCUGUUGAUGAUGGAUCUAGGAAAAGUUCAGGAUCGGAGAAAACGGUAUCCUGGGAGUGGAAGGUUCGAAGGUAUCCCUGGAGAAUAUCCUAUGGAGCCAGGUUGGUUGAUAGAGCAGUGGAGAAGGCAGGACGGGUUCUGUCUCUACCUUCACCUAAACAUCAGGACCUGGAGAGUGCUAAGAGUGUUAUCAUCUUUGCUUUAAAGGAGCUUUCGGAACGAGGUUGGAAAUUCUCUGGAGUUUUUAGCUCUGACUCCCAAACCUAUGUGCAGUUCAUUAAAUAGUUUAGUUUGGCAAAAAAUUUAAUUCAACCCAACUUUGAAUCCAAACGUGGACGUUGAACACUAAUCCAACGUAUCAAAUUGUUUAAUUGUACAUCUGCAGAUGUUUAACUUUAACUAUUGAUCUAGCCUUUGCAAAUAUUAUACAAGAUUAUAUAAGAAAAGAAAUUAAGUAUUUAAAUCAAUUCUAUAGUCCAUUAAUUUGAUAACUUAUCUUCCAUAUAAUCUUUAAAAUUCGACUUUUUUAUUUUCUGAGAAUUUAAUUAAAUCGAGCUUAGUAUGCUUUGGAGCAAAACUUUGUAAAUAUUCUUUAAGAAUCUAUUUAAGUGUAUAUUGUAAAUUAAUCCUGUAGAUAUUUUUUUUUGUGAUCACUACUUUUUGUGUGUUCUCUAAAAUGUAAUUUAUGAACAAUAAAUUAUGAAUGUUUGCAUUA
Molecule: unclassified non-coding RNA, 3298 nt
Filed under: Eurytemora carolleeae
Lineage: Eukaryota; Metazoa; Arthropoda; Copepoda; Calanoida; Temoridae
Description: uncharacterized LOC111708228
Source: RNAcentral